Molecule: long non-coding RNA, 337 nt
Organism: Ctenocephalides felis (cat flea)
Lineage: Eukaryota; Metazoa; Arthropoda; Insecta; Siphonaptera; Pulicidae
Exons: 3
Source: RefSeq, a predicted model, not a curated record
UUCGGACUGUCGUUCUUUCAUUUCUGGUUCAGCUCGGCUGGAAGUAACUUCUUCCUCUGAUUGGUAACAAAACAACUACUCAUCGAGGCAGUUUUGCUAUCACAAAGUUAGUGUUUGAAGAUAAUGAGAGCUAAGUGGCGUAAAAAGAGGAUGCGCAGGCUCAAACGCAAACGUAGGAAGAUGCGUGCUCGUUCCAAGUAAAUAAACGAUUGCAAUCAUUUAACAUUUAUGUAUUUUUUUAAAGUUACUUAUUGUCAUAAUAAUGAGCUUAUCAUAAUAAUGGGCGAAAUGAAAUAUUUUGGAUAAUCAAUCGACAUCCAUUAUAAUUACAUAACAA